CAGUCGCCGCGGGAAUACGAAGGGUGCAAGCGUUACUCGGAAUUACUGGGCGUAAAGCGCGCGUAGGCGGUUUGUUAAGUUGGAUGUGAAAUCCCCGGGCUCAACCUGGGAACUGCAUCCAAAACUGGCAAGCUAGAGUAUGGUAGAGGGUGGUGGAAUUUCCUGUGUAGCGGUGAAAUGCGUAGAUAUAGGAAGGAACACCAGUGGCGAAGGCGACCACCUGGACUGAUACUGACACUGAGGUGCGAAAGCGUGGGGAGCAAACAGGAUUAGAUACCCCGGUAGUCCCUGUCUCUUAUAC
Molecule: ribosomal RNA, 301 nt
Filed under: uncultured bacterium
Lineage: Bacteria
Description: partial 16S ribosomal RNA
Rfam family: Bacterial small subunit ribosomal RNA
Source: RNAcentral